UACGAAGGGGGCUAGCGUUGCUCGGAAUUACUGGGCGUAAAGCGCACGUAGGCGGCUUUCUAAGUCGGGGUGAAAUCCUGGAGCUCAACUCCAGAACUGCCUUCGAUACUGGAGAGCUUGAGUCCGGGAGAGGUGAGUGGAACUGCGAGUGUAGAGGUGAAAUUCGUAGAUAUUCGCAAGAACACCAGGUGGCGAAAGGC
Molecule: ribosomal RNA, 200 nt
Filed under: uncultured bacterium
Lineage: Bacteria
Description: partial 16S ribosomal RNA
Rfam family: Bacterial small subunit ribosomal RNA
Source: RNAcentral